Molecule: long non-coding RNA, 231 nt
Filed under: Elaeis guineensis (African oil palm)
Lineage: Eukaryota; Viridiplantae; Streptophyta; Magnoliopsida; Arecales; Arecaceae
Description: long non-coding RNA (EGUI_LNC080831)
Source: RNAcentral
UGUGUUAGAUUAGAUCUAAAGAAAUAUUCAUGAUUUAUUUUGAUUGAGUUAUUUUCUGUUAUGUAAUUAGCAAUAGGAUUGCUGUUUAUGAAAUGUGCUGAUCUGUUUGUGAAAUGAGUCAACAUACUUGGUGAACAGAAAAUAAAAUCUUUCAAAUUUAAAAAUUAUUUUCGAAAUGCCAAACCCUGAUCCAUCAGUCCAAAUACUUAAUUAAAAGAAUUAAGUGUUGUC